Mytilus trossulus (common blue mussel) is the source of this 359-nucleotide long non-coding RNA. RefSeq lists it as uncharacterized. The transcript has 4 exons. The record is from RefSeq and is a predicted model, not a curated record. Lineage: Eukaryota; Metazoa; Mollusca; Bivalvia; Mytilida; Mytilidae.
UAGAUGUGUCAAACAAUUGAGAUACACAUAUUUUUGUUCUAAAUUAUCUGAUUACUUACAUACAUAGGACUUUAGUAUCCAAAAACAUGGCUAGUGGACUAUUCUUGGUUUGACGUCAUAGCUACGAAAUCUUACAAUCAGCAUGGAAACAAACAGUAGACAGCUUGAGAAGGAUCUAAUAAAGGCUGCUAUUCGGGGUGACAAAAAGAGAAUACAGAGAUGUUUAAAGGAAGGAGUAAAUGUUAACUACAAAAGCUAUUAUGAUAACACUGCACUCCACAUUGCUGUUAUGUACGGACACACAGAAAUUGUCAGAUUGCUGAUUGAUGGUGGCAUUGAUCUCAAUAUAAAGAACUCGG